GACGAACGCUGGCGGCGUGCCUAAUACAUGCAAGUAGAACGCUGAAGGAGGAGCUUGCUUCUCUGGAUGAGUUGCGAACGGGUGAGUAACGCGUAGGUAACCUGCCUGGUAGCGGGGGAUAACUAUUGGAAACGAUAGCUAAUACCGCAUAAGAGUAGAUGUCGCAUGACAUUUGCUUAAAAGGUGCAAUUGCAUCACUACCAGAUGGACCUGCGUUGUAUUAGCUAGUUGGUGAGGUAACGGCUCACCAAGGCAACGAUACAUAGCCGACCUGAGAGGGUGAUCGGCCACACUGGGACUGAGACACGGCCCAGACUCCUACGGGAGGCAGCAGUAGGGAAUCUUCGGCAAUGGACGGAAGUCUGACUGAGCAACGCCGCGUGAGUGAAGAAGGUUUUCGGAUCGUAAAGCUCUGUUGUAAGAGAAGAACGAGUGUGAGAGUGGAAAGUUCACACUGUGACGGUAUCUUACCAGAAAGGGACGGCUAACUACGUG
Molecule: ribosomal RNA, 495 nt
Filed under: uncultured bacterium
Lineage: Bacteria
Description: partial 16S ribosomal RNA
Rfam family: Bacterial small subunit ribosomal RNA
Source: RNAcentral